Long non-coding RNA from Asparagus officinalis (garden asparagus), 942 nucleotides. RefSeq lists it as uncharacterized. The transcript has 3 exons. The record is from RefSeq and is a predicted model, not a curated record. NCBI's taxonomy places the organism in Eukaryota, Viridiplantae, Streptophyta, Magnoliopsida, Asparagales, Asparagaceae.
AUCAUUUCAGAUUUAUAUUGUUGUAGAAUACAUGAGAUAUAGAUGAGUAGUUACAGGAGAUAUACAUGAGGAGAUACAUAAGAUAUCUAGUGUUAUCAUCACAAACUGGUUAUUAGAUAACCAUGCACAACUGACUUGUGCUGAGCAGAUCACAACAAGAGUUUGGUUACAACAAACUCUAUCAGUAGGAGUUAUAUUUGGGAUGCUUCACGAUAAUGGAUCAGUGAGAUGCAUCUUUGUUAGAACUGCAUCUUUUUGACUUUAGUUAACCGUAAAAUCCAGCUAUCUUUUCUGCAGUCCAAUCUGAAACAGGUGCAUCUAGCUAACUAUAUUUCUUGCAAGAUUGACUGUCAAUCCUUAUUAUGAUUAAAUAUCAAGUUUAGAGAAUCUUAUGGUCAUAAUCUUAUUCUACUAUCCUUGUUAUGGUUGGACCUCAAAACUGCAAGAAAUGAAAGGUGCUGAAGUUAUGUGUUUCACGCAUUGCAUCAUCUGCAACUGAAGGUUAAGCUUCUCUCGUUGGACGAAGUUCACGAAAGAUAUAGCCAAGUUUUUGUACCAGAUCCUCUAACAUGUAUGUUUCCAGCGUCAGGAAAUUAUGGCUUUGGUUUGAUUUGCACAACAGCAGAAUUUAGCUUAAAUGAGAUUUGAUGGAUUGAGAACAUUGGAUUGGAUUUCAGGUUUUGGGCUCAUAUCGUGAUGGCAUAAAAAUUACUCUUUUGUUGCUGCGGAUAGGGUUUAUCAUAUAAGAACUUCUGAAUCAUCAGUUGCAAUUUUUUUUACAUCAAGGAUACUUCUCUUCUCACAUGCUAUUCAGUUUAUAACUCUUUGUAUUUUUUCUUAUUAACAUUUCCCUUGGUAUAUCAAAGACCAAAUUGACUAUGUAAUUAUCAGUUGUACAUGCAUUUGAUAAGAUAAUGGAAUUGUUACUUAUUUGCUCUGAUA